UAGGGAAUCUUCCGCAAUGGGCGAAAGCCUGACGGAGCAACGCCGCGUGAGUGAUGAAGGUCUUCGGAUCGUAAAACUCUGUUAUUAGGGAAGAACAAAUGUGUAAGUAACUAUGCACAUCUUGACGGUACCUAAUCAGAAAGCCACGGCUAACUACGUGCCAGCAGCCGCGGUAAUACGUAGGUGGCAAGCGUUAUCCGGAAUUAUUGGGCGUAAAGCGCGCGUAGGCGGUUUUUUAAGUCUGAUGUGAAAGCCCACGGCUCAACCGUGGAGGGUCAUUGGAAACUGGAAAACUUGAGUGCAGAAGAGGAAAGUGGAAUUCCAUGUGUAGCGGUGAAAUGCGCAGAGAUAUGGAGGAACACCAGUGGCGAAGGCGACUCUCUGGUCUGUAACUGACGCUGAGGCUCGAAAGCGUGGGUAGCAAACAGG
This 429-nucleotide ribosomal RNA is filed under the name Bacteroidota bacterium. Its description in RNAcentral is "Bacteroidetes bacterium partial 16S ribosomal RNA". It matches the Rfam family "Bacterial small subunit ribosomal RNA", at positions 355 to 776 of the family's 1533-position model. The record is from RNAcentral. Lineage: Bacteria; Pseudomonadati; Bacteroidota.